This 279-nucleotide ribosomal RNA is filed under the name uncultured bacterium. Its description in RNAcentral is "partial 16S ribosomal RNA". It matches the Rfam family "Bacterial small subunit ribosomal RNA", at positions 506 to 784 of the family's 1533-position model. The record is from RNAcentral.
UGCCAGCCGCCGCGGUAAUACGAAGGGUGCUAGCGUUGUUCGGAAUUACUGGGCGUAAAGAGCAUGUAGGCGGAUUGCUAAGUCAGAUGUGAAAGCCCGGGGCCUAACCUCGGAAGUGCAUCUGAUACUGGCAGUCUUGAGUACUAGAGAGGAUUGUGGAAUUCCUGGUGUAGUGGUGAAAUACGUAGAUAUCAGGAGGAACAUCGGAGGCGAAGGCGGCAAUCUAGCUAGAUACUGACACUGAGAUGCGAAAGCGUGGGUAGCAAACAGGAUUAGAUA